CCUACGGGUGGCAGCAGUGGGGAAUUUUGGACAAUGGGCGAAAGCCUGAUCCAGCAAUGCCGCGUGCAGGAUGAAGGCCUUCGGGUUGUAAACUGCUUUUGUGAACAGCGCGGUACCGUAAGAAUAAGCACCGGCUAACUACGUGCCAGCAGCCGCGGUAAUACGUAGGGGGCAAGCGUUAAUCGGAAUUACUGGGCGUAAAGCGUGCGCAGGCGGUUAGAUAAGACAGAUGUGAAAUCCCCGGGCUCAACCUGGGAACUGCAUUUGUGACUGUAUAGCUAGAGUACGGUAGAGGGGGAUGGAAUUCCGCGUGUAGCAGUGAAAUGCGUAGAUAUGCGGAGGAACACCGAUGGCGAAGGCAAUCCCCUGGCCGUACUGACGCUCAUGCACGAAAGCGGGGGAGCAAACAGGAUUAGAUACCUUGUAGUC
This 429-nucleotide ribosomal RNA is filed under the name uncultured bacterium. Its description in RNAcentral is "partial 16S ribosomal RNA". It matches the Rfam family "Bacterial small subunit ribosomal RNA", at positions 338 to 795 of the family's 1533-position model. The record is from RNAcentral.